CCUACGGGUGGCAGCAGUGAGGAAUAUUGGUCAAUGGGCGAGAUCCUGAACCAGCCAAGCCGCGUGAGGGCUGACGGCCCUAUGGGUUGUAAACUUCUUUUGUCCGCGCACAAAACCCGGGACGUGUCCCGGACUGCGUGUAUCCGAAGAAAAAGCAUCGGCUAACUCCGUGCCAGCAGCCGCGGUAAUACGGAGGAUGCGAGCGUUAUCCGGAUUUAUUGGGUUUAAAGGGUGCGUAGGCGGUUCGUUAAGUCAGCGGGAAAAUUGCGGGGCUCAACCCCGUCGAGCCGUUGAAACUGGCAGACUUGAGUUGGCGAGAAGUAUGCGGAAUGCGCGGUGUAGCGGUGAAAUGCUUAGAGAUCGCGAAGAACUCCGAUUGCGAAGGCAGCGUACGGGAGCCAGACUGACGCUGAGGCACGAAAGCGUGGGGAUCGAACAGGAUUAGAGACCAGUGUAGUC
RNAcentral lists this ribosomal RNA (459 nucleotides) under uncultured bacterium. RNAcentral's name for it is "partial 16S ribosomal RNA". It matches the Rfam family "Bacterial small subunit ribosomal RNA", at positions 338 to 795 of the family's 1533-position model. The record is from RNAcentral.